Molecule: ribosomal RNA, 396 nt
Filed under: uncultured Gammaproteobacteria bacterium
Lineage: Bacteria; Pseudomonadati; Pseudomonadota; Gammaproteobacteria
Description: bacterial SSU rRNA
Rfam family: Bacterial small subunit ribosomal RNA
Source: RNAcentral
GAUCUGGGAGGCAGCAGUGGGGAAUAUUGGACAAUGGGCGAAAGCCUGAUCCAGCCAUGCCGCGUGUGUGAAGAAAGUCUUCGGAUUGUAAAGCACUUUAAGUUGGGAGGAAGGGCUGUAGGCUAAUAUCCUGUGGUUUUGACGUUACCAACAGAAUAAGCACCGGCUAACUUCGUGCCAGCAGCCGCGGUAAUACGAAGGGUGCAAGCGUUAAUCGGAAUUACUGGGCGUAAAGCGCGCGUAGGUGGUUCGUUAAGUUGGAUGUGAAAGCCCCGGGCUCAACCUGGGAACUGCAUCCAAAACUGGCGAGCUAGAGUACGGUAGAGGGUAGUGGAAUUUCCUGUGUAGCGGUGAAAUGCGUAGAUAUAGGAAGGAACACCAGUGGCGAAAGCGACA